GUAAUACUCCCUCCGUCUGAAAAUACUUGUUAUCAAAAUAUAUAAAAGAGGAUGUAUGUUUAUAUACAUUCCCUUUUAUCCAUUUUGAUGACAAGUAUUUUCGGACGGAUGGAGUAUAAU
Triticum aestivum (bread wheat) is the source of this 120-nucleotide non-coding RNA. Lineage: Eukaryota; Viridiplantae; Streptophyta; Magnoliopsida; Poales; Poaceae. The record is from Rfam.